GCGGUUGUAGUUCAAUUGGUAGAACGCUUCCUUGCCAAGGAAGAGGUUGCGAGUUCGAGCCUCGUCAUCCGCU
This 73-nucleotide transfer RNA is filed under the name Candidatus Dojkabacteria bacterium. Its description in RNAcentral is "tRNA-Gly". It matches the Rfam family "tRNA". Rfam says of the family: Transfer RNA (tRNA) molecules are approximately 80 nucleotides in length. The record is from RNAcentral.